AGGAGACCGUGGACGGCCGACGGUGCCCCGCGUAGGCGCCGAGGAAAGUCCCCUCUCCAUACGAAGGCGGCCCGGCGCAAGCCGGGGUCCCGAGAGGGACGGCAAGGGCGCAGACACGACACAGCCACGGCCGAGGAUGAGGCGCGCGCGCACGAAGGCGCGGACGUUGGCCGCGGAAGCGCGGGGGCCCGGGAGUGGGCCCCUCAUGGUGAGACGGCGACUCCCCGCUGGAGCAAGUCCAAAGCGGCCCGCACCGCGGGCCAAGUCGGACGCUCAGUCCAAUGCCGUCGGAACAGAAAGGGGCUUACGACGGUCACCU
Molecule: RNase P RNA, 319 nt
Filed under: Methanobacteriota archaeon
Lineage: Archaea; Methanobacteriati; Methanobacteriota
Description: Euryarchaeota archaeon RNase P RNA component
Rfam family: Archaeal RNase P
About the family: Ribonuclease P (RNase P) is a ubiquitous endoribonuclease, found in archaea, bacteria and eukarya as well as chloroplasts and mitochondria. Its best characterised activity is the generation of mature 5'-ends of tRNAs by cleaving the 5'-leader elements of precursor-tRNAs. Cellular RNase Ps are ribonucleoproteins.
Source: RNAcentral